RNAcentral lists this unclassified non-coding RNA (156 nucleotides) under uncultured fungus. Its description in RNAcentral is "sequence contains ITS1". The record is from RNAcentral. Lineage: Eukaryota; Fungi.
UUAAAUAUUUUAUAGUACUCUGACGACACUAAUUUCAGGGUUUGGUCUCUGGGGAGCGGGCUCCCCAAAGCAACAAUGUUACAAAUCACGGGUGGGAGAUCUACCCUUGCGGGCAUGAACUCUGUAAUGAUCCCUCCGCAGGUUCACCUACGGAGA